AGUGAACGCUGGCGGUAGGCCUAACACAUGCAAGUCGAACGGCAGCACAGUAAGAGCUUGCUCUUACGGGUGGCGAGUGGCGGACGGGUGAGGAAUACAUCGGAAUCUACUUUUUCGUGGGGGAUAACGUAGGGAAACUUACGCUAAUACCGCAUACGACCUACGGGUGAAAGCAGGGGAUCUUCGGACCUUGCGCGAUUGAAUGAGCCGAUGUCGGAUUAGCUAGUUGGCGGGGUAAAGGCCCACCAAGGCGACGAUCCGUAGCUGGUCUGAGAGGAUGAUCCGCCCCACUGGAACUGAGACACGGUCCCGACUCCUACGGGAGGCAGCAGUGGGGAAUAUUGGACAAUGGGCGCAAGCCUGAUCCAGCCAUACCGCGUGGGUGAAGAAGGCCUUCGGGUUGUAAAGCCCUUUUGUUGGGAAAGAAAAGCAGCAGGUUAAUACCCCGCUGUUCUGACGGUACCCAAAGAAUAAGCACCGGCUAACUUCGUG
RNAcentral lists this ribosomal RNA (492 nucleotides) under uncultured bacterium. RNAcentral describes it as "partial 16S ribosomal RNA". It matches the Rfam family "Bacterial small subunit ribosomal RNA", at positions 29 to 507 of the family's 1533-position model. The record is from RNAcentral.